UCCACCUGUGGCACCAGCAUCCCAUAUGGGCACGGGUUCUAGACCUGGUUGCCCCUCUUCCAGUGCAGCUCUCUGCUGUGGCCUAGGAGGGCAAUGGAGGAUGGCCCAAGUGCUUGGGCCCUGCACCUGCAUGGGAGACCAGGAGGGAGUACCUGGCUCCUGGCUUCAGAUUGGCGCAGCACCGGCCGCGGCAGCCAUUUGGGGAGUGAACCAACAGAAGGAAGGAAGACCGUUUUCUCUCUCUCUCACUGUAAUUCUGUCAAAUAAAUAAAUAUUUUAAAAAAGUAGCUUCCAAGGCCGGCGCCGCGGCUCACUAGGCUAAUCCUCUGCCUUGCGGUGCCGGCACACCAGGUUCUAGUCCCAGUUGCCCCUCUUCCAGGCCAGCUCUCUGCUGUGGCCCGGGAGUGCAGUGGAGGAUGGCCCAAGUGCUUGGGCCCUGCACCCCAUGGGAGACCAGGAGGAAGCACCUGGCUUCUGCCAUCGGAUCAGCGCGAUGCUCUGGCCGCAGUGGCCAUUGGGGGGUGAACCAACAGAAAAGGAAGACCUUUCUCUCUGUCUCUCUCUCUCUCACUGUCCACUCUGCCUGUCAAAAAAAAAAAAAAAAAGCUUCCAGAAGACAUUUUUUCCAACUACUUAAAAAAUAGGCAUUUUUUUUAACUGUUACACUCGUGAACAUCUUUACACCUAGACCGCCUAGAUGUAGCAAACAUGUUUUUUUUAAAGGUUGAGGGGAAUGUUGAGUUUUCUCACGUUAUAGACCUAGGCCUUCUAAAAGGGUCAGGAGAUCCUAACUGGGGAUUUCCGGCUGCCAGUUUCUCCCCACACCAACGGCUGAGGGAGCCCAGCCCAGCGGCCGCGGGCUUCUGCCCGGGGAUCGCUCACUUGCUGGCCCUUAAGGUCUCUGUUGGCCGUGGUGAGCACAAGACCCCGCCCCCGGGCAUCGGCGCCUUGGAGGUGGCCGCCGUUUUGCUCAGCCCGCCAGCCUAUGGAGGCACCGCGUCUUGCCGCUCCUCGGGAGAGCCUCGGGCAGGCCCUGAGCCAUCACCUCACAGAGAGCACUGA
Molecule: long non-coding RNA, 1062 nt
Organism: Oryctolagus cuniculus (rabbit)
Lineage: Eukaryota; Metazoa; Chordata; Mammalia; Lagomorpha; Leporidae
Source: Ensembl